Molecule: long non-coding RNA, 4633 nt
Organism: Equus caballus (horse)
Lineage: Eukaryota; Metazoa; Chordata; Mammalia; Perissodactyla; Equidae
Source: Ensembl
AGGCUGAAGAGGGGAGCAGUGGAACCACCUGGAUAUUUGGGGAAGAGCAUUUUCAACUGACUGAGAGAUUAGCAAGUGCAAAAGCACUGAAUGCCUGGUGUGUCUGAAAAACAGCGCCUUCCGGCUGCUGGGUUGAGAAGGUUCUGAAGGAACGAAGCGGCAGAAGCAAGGAAGCUAGUCAGGAGGCUGCUGUGAUAAUCUGGGUCACCCAGUCUGUGGGAAGACCUGCAAGGCAAGAAACUGAGGAUGGCUUCUGGCCAAAAGCCAGCUUGAACUGGGGCCCUCAGUCCCACAGCCCAAAAGGAGCAGAAUCCUUCCGACAACCACCCAAGUGAGCUUGGAGGCGCAUCCUUCCCCAGCUGAGCCUUCAGUUUGUGUAUUUCCUGGCCUGCUGUCAGGCCUGAUUUAUCUGAGGCACCCUCAGACCAGUUCCCAUUUCAGGAGGACCCGAGGGCAGGAUGAAGGGUGGGGAGGUCAGAGCCCUUGAACAGGGACCCUGGACCGCUCAGCACAAGGCACAGACUUCACAGCGCAGCAAAACUCUGCUUGUUUCUUCAGAAGUCAUUACGAAAGGUCUUUUUGGCAUUUUUGCUUCCUUUCUGGAGCUUUGGCCCACGCAGCGACCUCAGUGUCUCCUGACCAUGGAGUCACGUGCCUUUCUCUACUGUGGAGUUUGAGCUUUAUAAAGCCCCAGCUCUUUGGCAAUAGAGAGCGCGUGGGCCUGACAUCAGCAGUGGGGCGAAGUCUUUCUUCGGCUUUCCAUCCAUGUCCACAUGAUACCAAUGACUUCUGGUGGACUCCUGAUUUGACCCUCCGAUAGAGGAAGCUGCACUACGCAGAUUCUCCUGAGACAGGCCCUUAAAUGCUGAGCACAGCACUAGGUAGGCCUUCAGAGUUUACAAAGCUUCCCCAAAUACACUCCCAUUAGAGCCCCACAGCCACCCUGGAGGCAGGCAUCUCAAGUCCAUUUCACAGAGGAGAAGAUCUGUGUUCAGUGGGAGAAUGGGGAAAAGUAUGGUUCGAGGACAUAACCAGCAUGUGUUAAGUCUCCUCCUGGGACCAGCACUGUGUUGGAUGCUUUAUACACAUUUGAUCCUUUAAGGGAACUUGUGAGGCAAGUUGUAUUUUCAUGCUAUUUUUCUUUAAAGAUAGGAUAACUGUGAUGGACUGCAUGUUUGUGUCCCCCACCAAUUGACAUGUUGAAACCCUAACCCCCAAUGGGAUGGUAUUUGGAGGUGGGGCCUUUGAGAGGUGAUUAGGUUUAUAUGAGGUUACAAGUGGAGCCCCCACGAUGGGAUCAGUGUCCUCAUAAGAAGAGGAAGAGAUCAAGAGCUCUCUCUCCACCAUGUGAGGACAUAGCAGGAAGGCCGCUGUCUACAAGCCAGGAAGAGGCCUCUCACCAGACACUGGAUCUGCUGGCACCUUGACCUUGGACUUCCAGCCUCCAGAACUGUGAGAAAUAGAUGUUUGCUGCUUAAGCUGCCCAGUUGACGGUAUUCUUGUUAUAGUGGUGCAAACACACAACAACUAGGCUCAAAGAGGAAAGUGACACAGCAAUAAGUGGAAGAGCAGGAACUGAAACUCAGCUCUCUGUCUUGUGUUUAGUGCUUUUUCCCAUCACUACCUCCAUUAGCUAUCUUUUGCUGAACAACAGAUCACCCCAAAACAGUAGUUUAAAACAAUGACGAUAAUUUACGAUCUCACAGUUUCUAUGGAUUAGAAAUUUGGGAGCAGUUGGAGCUGGGCUAUUCUGGCUCAGAGUCUUUCAUGGAAUCCCAGGCAGGAUGUCAGCCAGGGCCUGCUGUCAUCGGAAGACUUGAUGGCAGACUCACAUGACUGACAAAGUGGUGCUGGCUGUUGGCAGAAGGCCUCAGUUUCUCUCCCCCAGGGCUGCUUGAGUGUCCUCACAACAUGGCGGCUGGCUUCCCCAAGUGAAUGAUCCAUGAGAGAGCAAGACAGAAGCCACAACGUCUUUUACGACUUUGCCUCAGAAGCCAAAUGGUCAUUUCUGCAAUAUCCCCUUGGUUGUAAUUAUACUUCAUAAUUUUUUUGAUGCUCUGAUGCAGUUUUAAAGAUUUUAUUUUUAUUUUUCCUUUUUCUCCCCAAAGUCCCCUGGUACAUAGUUGCAUAUUUUUAAUUGUAGGUCCUUCUAGUUGUGGCAUGUGGGAUGCUGCCUCAGCAUGGCCUGAUGAGCGGUGCCAUGUCCAUGCCCAGGAUCCGAACCGGCAAAACCCUGGGCCGCUGAAGCGGAUUGCGCGAACUUAACCACUUGGCCAUGGGGCUCACCCCUCUGAUGCAGUUUUAAACAACUAUUUUGAAGUAUAAUUGAUUUAUGGUCAACUACACAUAUAUGCAGUGUACAAUUUGGUGGGCUUUGACAUAUGCCUACAUCAAUGAAACGAUCACCAUAAUGAAGAUAACGAAUACUUCCAUCACCCCCAAAAGUUUCCUUAUGCCCCUUAGUAAACUACCCCUACUUCUACUCCUGCCCCCAGGCAACCACUGAUAUGCUAUCUGUUACUAAGUAUUAGUUUUCAUUUUCAAGAAUUUUUUUUUUUAGUGAGGAAGAUUGGCCCAGAGCUAACAUCUGUUGCCAAUCUUCCUCUUUUUGCUUGAGGAAGAUUGGCCCUGAGCUAACAUCUGUGCCGAUCUUCCUCUAUUUUGUAUGUGGGAUGCCACCACAGCAUGACUUGAUGAGCAGUGUGUAGAUCUGCUCCUGGGAUCUGAACCCACGAACCUUGGGCCGCCGAAGUGGAGCACACAAACUUAACCACUAUGCCACUGAGCUGGCCCCCCAUUUAAUUAAAUGGAACCACGCAGUACAUUCUCUUUUACAUCUGGCUUCUUUCUUUCAAUGUAAUGAUUUUGACAACCAUCCACGUUGUUAUGUAUAUCAAUAGUGCGUUCCUUUUUAAAUAUUAAAAAAUUUUAAUAGCUUUAUUAAGGUAUAAUUGACUUAUAAUAAAUUGCCUGUAUUUAACAUGUAUGCAUUGAUAAGUUUUGACCCACGAAUAUACACCAUGAAACCAUCACAUUAACCAAGAUAAUGAAAAUGUCCAUCACCUCCAAAAGUUUUCUUAUGCCCCUUCAUAAUCCCUCCCUCCUGCUUUUCUCUCUAUCCCCAACCCAGGAAACCACCGAUCUUGCUCUCACAAUGAAUUUGAUUGCAUUUUCUAGAAUUUUAUACAAAUAGAAUCAUACAGUAUUUCUUAUUUGGAGAUUCAUCUAUGGAGGUGCAUAUGUCAACAGUUCACUCUUUUUUAUUGCUGAGUACUAUUCCAUUGAAUAGAUAGGUCAUGAUUUGUUUACCUGUCCCUGUCAAUGGAGGUUUGGGUUGUUUCCACUUCUUGGCUGUUGUAAAGAAAGCUGCUACGAACAUUCAAAUGCAAGUCUUCGUGUGAACAGAUAUUUUAAUUUCUCUUGGGUACAUACCUAAAAGUGGAAUGGCUAGGUCAUACGUAAGUGUGCUGAACUUUUUAAGAAACCGUGAAGCUGUUUUGAAGUGCUGGUACCAUUUUACAUUCCCACCAGCAGUGUGUGAGAGCUCCCGUUGUUCCCCAUCCCUACCAACACUUGGUGUGGGCGGUCUUUCAGUGCAGUCAUUCCAGUGGGGCUGUGUGGUAUCUCAUCGUGGUUUUAAUGUGCCUUUCCCUGACAACUAAUGUGCUUAUUAGCCAUUCAUAUAUUGCCUUUUGUGAAGUAUUUAUUCACACCUUUUGCCCAUUUUUGAAACUAAACUGUUUAUCUUCUUCUGAGUGAAUAAAAGCAAAGUACAGAGAGUGUUAUAAACAUGUAAGUUAUUUAUACAGGAAGAGUGGGCCCUGUCUGGUUUCCCUCCUGGCCUCUAUAGCUCCCUGCCCACAUUGUGACCAGAAAUCUGUUGCUGGUGGAGGGGAAUUGUAAGGACCUGGGCAAAUGCAGCAAAGAGGGUCACACGGCAGAGGAGGCGGGGUAGAUAUGAGGUUGGCAGGUAUCUUAUGGCAUCAUAACCUCAUAUGACUGGGAAGGUCAUUGAGUCUGGGCACCUCUUACCACUUCUUUUUUGGUGAGGAAGAUUGGCCCCGACCUAGCAUCUGUUGCCCAUCUUCCUCUUUUUCCUUGAGGAGGUUUGUCACUGAGCUAACAUCUGUCCCAAUCUUCCUCUAUUUUGUGUGUGGGAUGCCACCACAGCAUGGUUUGACGAGCAGUGUGUAGGUCUGCGCCCAGGAUCUGAACUGGUGAACCCGGGCCGCCAAAGCAGAGUGAGCGAACUUAACCACUGUGCCACCGGGCUGACCCCACUUUCCACCUUUUGAUCCCAGCUCCCUUAUGGCUCCUGGUUGAAAAUCCUUCAAACUAUGGAUAUAUAAAUUACCAGGAAAUUUGGCUGCAAAGUGUAAACACUGUAGAUGAAUCCCAUCUCCAAACUGAUGCCCAAGUAAGGCAGAAGUAGCGGGGGGUGUGGGUUGGGUGGUCUUUGCUCUGCCCCCUGAGAGUGGUUUUGCACAUCACCGGGCACUUUACCAACAGUGACGAUUAGGAUGAGGAUUCUAACUAUUCUUUACACUGAUCGAGCAUGAAACAGUUUUAACAGCAUGCCCUUGCCUAUUCUACUUCUUCCGUCUGAGAUGGGCUUGGCAUCGGUCAGUGAGCC